CUGACACAGGGAGGUAGUGACAAGAAAUAACAAUACAGGGCUACUUCUAGUCUUGUAAUUGGAAUGAGUACAACUUACAUCUCUUCACGAGGAUCAAUUGGAGGGCAAGUCUGGUGCCAGCAGCCGCGGUAAUUCCAGCUCCAAUAGCGUAUAUUAAAGUUGUUGCAGUUAAAAAGCUCGUAGUCGGAUUUCGGGUCGGGCCGAGCGGUCUGCCGAUGGGUAUGCACUGUUUGGCGCGGCCUUCUUUCCGGAGACCGCGGCUACUCUUAACUGAGCGGGCGUGGGAGACGGAUCGUUUACUUUGAAAAAUCAGAGUGUUUCAAGCAGGCAGCUCGCUCUUGCAUGGAUUAGCAUGGGAUAAUGAAAUAGGACUCUGGUGCUAUUUUGUUGGUUUCGAACACCGGAGUAAUGAUUAACAGGGACAGUCAGGGGCACUCGUAUUCCGUCGAGAGAGGUGAAAUUCUCAGACCAAUGGAAGACGAACCACUGCGAAAGCA
This 497-nucleotide ribosomal RNA is filed under the name Haptophyta environmental samples. RNAcentral describes it as "SSU rRNA". It matches the Rfam family "Eukaryotic small subunit ribosomal RNA", at positions 451 to 953 of the family's 1831-position model. The record is from RNAcentral. Lineage: Eukaryota; Haptophyta.